CCGGCGCACGGGUGAGUAACGCGUAUGCAACCUGCCUGAUACCGGGGUAUAGCCCAUGGAAACGUGGAUUAACACCCCAUAGUACUUUUAUCCUGCAUGGGAUGUGAGUUAAAUGUUCAAGGUAUCGGAUGGGCAUGCGUCCUAUUAGUUAGUUGGCGGGGUAACAGCCCACCAAGACGAUGAUAGGUAGGGGUUCUGAGAGGAAGGUCCCCCACAUUGGAGCUGAGACACGGUCCAA
RNAcentral lists this ribosomal RNA (238 nucleotides) under uncultured bacterium. RNAcentral's name for it is "partial 16S ribosomal RNA". It matches the Rfam family "Bacterial small subunit ribosomal RNA", at positions 95 to 334 of the family's 1533-position model. The record is from RNAcentral.